This 643-nucleotide ribosomal RNA is filed under the name Propionibacterium acidifaciens. Its description in RNAcentral is "bacterial SSU rRNA". It matches the Rfam family "Bacterial small subunit ribosomal RNA", at positions 371 to 1021 of the family's 1533-position model. The record is from RNAcentral. Lineage: Bacteria; Bacillati; Actinomycetota; Actinomycetes; Propionibacteriales; Propionibacteriaceae.
AUGGGCGGAAGCCUGAUGCAGCAACGCCGCGUGCGGGAUGACGGCCUUCGGGUUGUAAACCGCUUUCACCCAUGACGAAGCGCGAGUGACGGUAGUGGGGGAAGAAGCACCGGCCAACUACGCGCCAGCAGCCGCGGUGAUACGUAGGGUGCGAGCGUUGUCCGGAAUUAUUGGGCGUAAAGAGCUUGUAGGCGGUUGAUCGCGUCGAUAGUGAAAUCCCGGGGCUCAACCUCGGGCUUGCUGUCGAUACGGGUUGACUUGAGGAAGGUAGGGGAGAAUGGAACUCCCGGUGGAGCGGUGGAAUGCGCAGAUAUCGGGAAGAACACCGGUGGCGAAGGCGGUUCUCUGGACCUUUCCUGACGCUGGGAAGCGAAAGCGUGGGGAGCAAACAGGCUUAGAUACCCUGGUAGUCCACGCUGUAAACGGUGGGUACUAGGUGUAGGUCGCAUUCCACAUGAUCCGUGCCGUAGCCAACGCAUUAAGUACCCCGCCUGGGGAGUACGGCCGCAAGGCAAAAACUCAAAGGAAUUGACGGGGCCCCGCACAAGCGGCGGAGCAUGCGGAUUAAUUCGAUGCAACGCGAAGAACCUUACCUGGGGUUUGACAUGUACUGGAAGCGCUCAGAGAUGGGGCGUGGCCUUUU